This 366-nucleotide ribosomal RNA is filed under the name uncultured bacterium. RNAcentral's name for it is "partial 16S ribosomal RNA". It matches the Rfam family "Bacterial small subunit ribosomal RNA", at positions 338 to 702 of the family's 1533-position model. The record is from RNAcentral.
CCUACGGGUGGCAGCAGUGAGGAAUAUUGGUCAAUGGGCGGGAGCCUGAACCAGCCAAGUCGCGUGAGGGACGACGGUCCUAUGGAUUGUAAACCUCUUUUGUCGGGGAACAAAGGCGCCCACGGGUGGGCGGAUGAGUGUACCCGAAGAAAAAGCAUCGGCUAACUCCGUGCCAGCAGCCGCGGUAAUACGGAGGAUGCGAGCGUUCUCCGGAUUUAUUGGGUUUACAGGGUGCGUAGGCGGACAGGCAAGUCAGCGGGAAAAAUGCGGUGCUCAACGCCGUACAGCCGUUGCAACUGGCAGUCUUGAGUGGGCGAGACGUAUGCGGACUGCGUGGUGUAGCGGUGCAAUGCCUAGCUAUCACGC